RNAcentral lists this ribosomal RNA (1469 nucleotides) under metagenome. Its description in RNAcentral is "bacterial SSU rRNA". It matches the Rfam family "Bacterial small subunit ribosomal RNA". The record is from RNAcentral.
AGAGUUUGAUCAUGGCUCAGGACGAACGCUGGCGGCACGCUUAACACAUGCAAGUCGAACGAGAGAAGAGGAGCUUGCUCUUCUGAUCUAGUGGCGGACGGGUGAGUAACACGUGAGCAAUCUGCCUUUCAGAGGGGGAUACCGAUUGGAAACGAUCGUUAAUACCGCAUAACAUAAUUGAACCGCAUGAUUUGAUUAUCAAAGAUUUAUCGCUGAAAGAUGAGCUCGCGUCUGAUUAGCUAGUUGGUAAGGUAACGGCUUACCAAGGCGACGAUCAGUAGCCGGACUGAGAGGUUGAUCGGCCACAUUGGGACUGAGACACGGCCCAGACUCCUACGGGAGGCAGCAGUGGGGAAUAUUGCACAAUGGAGGAAACUCUGAUGCAGCGAUGCCGCGUGAGGGAAGAAGGUUUUAGGAUUGUAAACCUCUGUCUUCAGGGACGAAAAAAGACGGUACCUGAGGAGGAAGCUCCGGCUAACUACGUGCCAGCAGCCGCGGUAAUACGUAGGGAGCGAGCGUUGUCCGGAAUUACUGGGUGUAAAGGGAGCGUAGGCGGGAUCGCAAGUCAGAUGUGAAAACUAUGGGCUUAACCCAUAAACUGCAUUUGAAACUGUGGUUCUUGAGUGAAGUAGAGGUAAGCGGAAUUCCUAGUGUAGCGGUGAAAUGCGUAGAUAUUAGGAGGAACAUCAGUGGCGAAGGCGGCUUACUGGGCUUUAACUGACGCUGAGGCUCGAAAGCGUGGGGAGCAAACAGGAUUAGAUACCCUGGUAGUCCACGCCGUAAACGAUGAUUACUAGGUGUGGGGGACUGACCCCUUCCGUGCCGCAGCAAACGCAAUAAGUAAUCCACCUGGGGAGUACGACCGCAAGGUUGAAACUCAAAGGAAUUGACGGGGGCCCGCACAAGCAGUGGAGUAUGUGGAUUAAUUCGAAGCAACGCGAAGAACCUUACCAGGUCUUGACAUCGUAUGCAUAGCUCAGAGAUGAGUGAAAUCUCUUCGGAGACAUAUAGACAGGUGGUGCAUGGUUGUCGUCAGCUCGUGUCGUGAGAUGUUGGGUUAAGUCCCGCAACGAGCGCAACCCUUACUGUUAGUUGCUACGCAAGAGCACUCUAGCAGGACUGUCGUUGACAAAACGGAGGAAGGUGGGGAUGACGUCAAAUCAUCAUGCCCCUUAUGACCUGGGCCUCACACGUACUACAAUGGCUGUCAACAGAGGGAAGCAAAGCCGCGAGGUGGAGCGAACCCCUAAAAGCAGUCUUAGUUCGGAUUGUAGGCUGCAACCCGCCUACAUGAAGUCGGAAUUGCUAGUAAUCGCAGAUCAGCAUGCUGCGGUGAAUACGUUCCCGGGCCUUGUACACACCGCCCGUCACGCCAUGGGAGUCGGUAACACCCGAAGCCUGUAGUCUAACCGCAAGGAGGACGCAGUCGAAGGUGGGAUUGAUGACUGGGGUGAAGUCGUAACAAGGUA